UCUUUAUAUUAAUAUUAUUUGGACUUAUUUGAACAAUAAUGAUAAAGAAGUGGUUCAUUAUUUUUUAAUUAAUGCACUUUAAUAAGGUGGAAUGGAAAGAAACCCAGAGAGCAAAGUGCAUUACUUAAAGAUGCAGUAUAUACUUUUCUCAUUUUUAAACAGCACAUAUUUAUUAAAAGAAAAAAAGUAAUUUAUGAUUAUUUAAAAUAAAAUUUAAAAGUAGAGUGACUGUCGGGUUAAAGGACCUUCCACGUAGCUAUCUUCCAGGGGGAGGGCUCAAGCGGCUUCACUCCUCAAUGUCUGCACUGAGCCAGUUCAAUGCCAGCCAGGCCAGGAAGGAGUGCAGGACCCAUCUGCCAAGCACAGAGCAUCUCAGUUGGACUGGAGCACAGUGCUCCCUAGAGCCUGCCUUUCCCUGCCCUUCCUCUUCCACUGUACUGCCCUGUGGGGCUCUCCUAGCCCUGCCAAGGACCCCGUCUCCUUAAUCUCCAGUGCUCUUAAGUAAUAGAGUCAUUAUAAGUGACCUUCAGGAUCACUUCAUGCCAUACCCUCCUGUUAACUGCAGCCCAAAGACAGGAAUUAGCUUUCCCAAAUCACACAGUUGACAGCAGACCUUCCCACCCCCGUUAGAGUGUAUAGUGUGGUCAUCAUGUUUACAUUGUGACAUCCAGCCCUAAGGAUGGCUGGGGCUGCUCAGGCAUCCAGGAAAAGUGGAGAGUGCUGCCACCUAGUGACAGCAUAUAGAUUUGGGCAGUGAACAGGGAUUGCCAUGCCCCAUCUUCACCCCUUGCCCCUCGCCAUCACCCCGACUCUCAGCACAGCACAAACCCUGCAAACCCAAAGAGAAUAUUAAUACUUGAAGCAAGAAGGGUGCAUGCCAGUCCCUCUCAGUCAUGGCCAGGGGAUGCCAGGGCUUGCGCCCCUGGACUCCUAGCCCUGCCCAGGGCAAGAGGGCUUUUCCCUAGAGCUACUGAGCUGCUUUGUGAUGUUGGAGGGUACUGCUGGCAGCAGGUAGAGGAGGGAAGGGGCCUGGGGCUCUGACCCAUCUGGAGGAAAACCAGAUCGGACUAAAAAAGGAAAAAAAAAGAAAUCUCAGCAGUGUCCAAACCUAGUUUUCCAUUAGUUGCGAUUGAAAAUGUGAAAUAACGUUGUAUUGCUGUAUACUGCAACUUUAAUCAUAAUGAGCCCUUCUGAGGUCAUUAUUGAGGUUUAUAUAAUGCCUGAAGAUGCAUCCUUUGGUGCUUUUUUCUUUCAGUUUAAAGACUUUAUUACAAGGGAAAAAGAUGUCUUCAUCUCUCUCCCACUUUGUAACAGGGGCCUGGCUGGGGUCUCUGGCAGCCAUCAUGCUAUUCCCACUAGGCCAAGGGACCCCAAGGGCAGCAAGAGGGAGUUGGAAGGGACAACCUGAACUGCAGGUGUGCCAGCUGUGACCGGGCCCCCUCGCCAGCCCUUGGCCCCCUCCACCCCCAAGCCUGGCCCCAUGGGCCCCUCUUUCUUCCUCCACUGUUCUCCAUCUUGACGAAGGCAUUAUAUAGAAUCGUUUUAAUCACUUUCAGAUGUUAGAGCAGCAUAUUUUACAGGCAUUUAUAUCCAUUGCUUUCCUCAGCAAGGCAUGUUACUACUUUUAUCAUCUAAGAAAAAAAAAAAAAAGACAAGGGAAUUUCGGUCAAGCAUUAUUUCCAUAUUAGUAGUAUUUGCAGAAUAGGUGUAGAACUAUUUAAGUUUAAACCUUGGUUUGGUAGUUUUUUGUUUUGUUUUUAAGGAAAAAAAGAAAAAGUAACCCCUACGUUUCCUGUUUUUUGUAUUUAACUAAUAUAUAAUUUCUAUAAGGUUACUCACUUCCCCUCCCCCUCCAAAUACUUUGCAUUCUCAAUCGAAAAUGAAAACAAUCUGAGAGACAGGAAAAGUGCAAUAUUAUCAAGAGGGAUGCCAGGGCUUGUAGGACAGUGGCGGGGAGGGCCAGCAGCCCCACGUGCUGCUGGGGGAGGUGGGGCUCUUGGAAGGAGUCAGCGGUGGAGCCAACAGGUGACCUUUUAUCCCUCCUCCCCCUUCCCUGGCAAGAUGGCAGGGGUCUCUGCCAGAGGGCAGCCCCUUCUGCUGGGUGUUGUCCACCCAGAAGAACGGGAUUCAGGGAAGUGGCAUGGGGCGCUCGGCCUCCCAGGGCCCCAGCCCUCGGCGCACAGCAAGGACCUCCAGGAACUUCUCCUUGUUUUCAUUUCCGUUCUUUUUCAGCCAGCUGCUCAGAAAGACCUGUCCUAAAAAUCACCCUCAGCAGCCCUCUCUCACCCCAAUCUCUUGAUGUUUGGGCCAUGAUCCUUUUGAUGUAUGUUUGAGUCUUUCUAAAACUAUGUAACCUCAAGUUCAGUUUUAUGAGCAGGAACCCUCAGUGUAACCAAAUCCUUCAGGGGGGUAUGUGGGUGCCUUGAGCCUAGCGUCCUCCGGUGACACCAGUUCCCACAAGCCUGCAGCUGGGCCUGGCGCUGAGCUGGGGCCACCCAUUCAUCUCAAUGACUUCAGCCCGAGUGAGGCGUGAUCCUGCCUCUGCUCAACACCCCAACAGUUCCCAGAAGAUCUCGAAAAAACGUGUUGGAGAAGCCUGCGGAGGUCCCUGCGGACAUAACUUCCCCCGGCAGAUCUAGCAGAAGCAGCCUAGGCCAUUGUCCCGGGCUCCAAAAUGAAGAUGUGGAAAGGAGGCGCCGCUGGGUGUGGAAGUGCUGAGGGGUUCAGACAGGGCCACCACCUGCAAACGCGUGUCUAGCAGGCUGCCUCCCAGCCUCUGCCGUGCAUGUCACCACUGUGGGAACCCCCGUGUCCUGAGAGCUGCUUGCCCUCGGUUCUUGUGUGGCUGAGGGUGGGUCAGGCUGGUCGGGGUGAGAAUUCUCUCACCUGCCUGUGUAGGCACAUCACCCCCGAUCUAGACCGCCGGCCCCAACUGAACACUUCACGGGGUCAUGUGGAGGGCUCCCCCUUGACAUUACUGAGCUUCUUGCCUCGAUUAUGAUCUCUGGCUGGGGGUGGCCUCCGGUUCUCAAGUUCUGUGAUCAGCCAGGGACAGAACAGGGCCAUGACCUACGGCUUCAUUUCAGGAGGACAGCCCCUCUGAUGGUGGAGUCCCUCCCCGUUUUGUCCUGUACACCUGGGUCCUCAGGCCGCAAGUCGGGCACACUGGUGCUUAUAGACUGGGUGGAGGGCUCUGCCUUCCUGGGCCUUGAUCCCAACCUGCAUGUAAAGUUGGUUUUACCACGCUAUCCCCCGUUCCCCAAUCCUAUCUUUCUAAUCUUGAGUUUGCACUUGACAAUCAGCUUCCUCUCCCAUCCCAGAACUUAGUGGCCUUAGAGAAUAGGUCCCUGCGAUGAAGGUCCCUCCUUUGCUCCCAUUUCCAUCCUGGCUAAUGGGCUGGACCUCAGGAGGCAAGAAAGAGGAAGAAAGAAUUAUCGUUUUAAAGCAAAAGUAUGGGUCGAGCACGUUGAAAGUAAGUGAGAGGCAUGUCGGCGAGAUGAAUGUGUGAGAGACUGGGGUGGCUGGGUUUUCCAUCCCUUCCCCGGGAAGGUGACUCCCAGAAGAGGAUGUCUGCUAGGCAGAAAGGGAAAAGAGUGAGGAGGUUGAGUCAGGAUUUAGAGUCUGGAGUUUUGUCUUUAGUAGAAAGAAGAAAGGAGUGAAUUCUGAGUGUUUCAAAGGGAAGCGAGCCAGUAGGGAGGAAACAAUGAUUCAACACCCAAGGGCCCAGACAGAAUAGGCUGGGAAAGUCUCAAGAUUUGGCUGUAGAAGAAGCUGACCAGAGGAAACUGCUAGUUGCUGGACCACAAGCUGGGUCGCCAGCAUGUUCUUAACGGUCACUGAUUUACUUAGUAGAAAGCCAAAGUUGCCAGCAACAAACCAAUCUUUGGAGAACAUUCCUCCAUCUCUUAGCUUCCAGGCUGAUUUUGCCCACCUUUCUUUGUCCAAUCUAGAACUGGCCUCUCAAAUUACUUGAACCAGAGACCAGUAACCAGAAUGGUUUAUGCAGUAGGGACCCACCAUCCCCAGACUGAAACCUCGGGGUCCAGACACCAUCCAGCAUAUCUGGGGGGAAGGCAACCUCAUUUGCUCUUCUGUUGACACCAGUUAUUCUUGAGUAUCUCUAACGAUGUCUAUGGUGUUUCAGUUUGCUGAGCCUGCCUCACUAGUGUGACUCAGAAGACGGUGCAAUGCAGUCAUCAUGUUAGUGGCCUGUGAGCAAGGCAUACUGCUCUUGAGCAUUUCAAAGAAAGGUCAACAGAGCCUCCAUUCUUGGAUCUGCAACUUGGUCUCUGUAAGAGGUCUUCUUUAAAUCCAGGACCCAGGAUAGGAAAAGGGUUUCCCUGACAGUUUACAGGAAACCUGCAGGAAGGCGACUUCUGAAGAAGGCAGGUGUGAGUGGCAGGUUUGUGAAGCGUGGGUUUGUGGACUGCAUGCUUGCACGUAAGCUAGCUGGAUGUCUUUGGGGCGCUCCUCACAGUGUCCACGCAACCCCUCCCAGCUCCUAGUGGGACCUGUGGGGCUGACGGAGGUCAUUCCCCUUUCUCCCCUCAGCAGAGAAACUGAAGAAAAGGACAUUGAAUUCAGUGCAGUUCGAGUGCUAAAAAAUUUCCAGGCUCAAUGGUGGUGCUAAACUGUCUCCAUGUUUCUAAUAUUUUUAAUAAUGGGUUGGUUUUUUUUCAGUUGUUCUCAUCACAAAAAUGCAGUGUCCUUGGGGAAGGGACCCAGCCCCUUGACCUGCCACUUUCCAGGUGUCCUUUAUCCUUUUGACGGGACUCUGGUCUGCAGAAAAUGUUCUGUCUUGGCAUGCUUCUAGACUGUAAGAUUUGGGUUGUUUUGUUUUGUAUUUUAUGUUUACAUGCAUCUUGUAUUUCCCC
Molecule: long non-coding RNA, 4874 nt
Organism: Bos taurus (domestic cattle)
Lineage: Eukaryota; Metazoa; Chordata; Mammalia; Artiodactyla; Bovidae
Source: Ensembl